This 218-nucleotide ribosomal RNA is filed under the name Escherichia coli. Its description in RNAcentral is "partial 23S ribosomal RNA". It matches the Rfam family "Bacterial large subunit ribosomal RNA", at positions 1125 to 1341 of the family's 2925-position model. Lineage: Bacteria; Pseudomonadati; Pseudomonadota; Gammaproteobacteria; Enterobacterales; Enterobacteriaceae. The record is from RNAcentral.
AAAGAAAGCGUAAUAGCUCACUGGUCGAGUCGGCCUGCGCGGAAGAUGUAACGGGGCUAAACCAUGCACCGAAGCUGCGGCAGCGACGCUGAUGCGUUGUUGGGUAGGGGAGCGUUCUGUAAGCCUGCGAAGGUGUGCUGUGAGGCAUGCUGGAGGUAUCAGAAGUGCGAAUGCUGACAUAAGUAACGAUAAAGCGGGUGAAAAGCCCGCUCGCCGGA